ACUUCUAGGGAAGAGAGGCUACCUGCUUCUGUCAGUUCUGGAGUAGACUCUAGAAUUCCUCCCAAACCUGACUCAAUUAGAAAGGCUUGAGAAAGCCAGAACUGCCCCUUGGAAGGUGAACCUUUGAAUCCUGGGCAUGUGCCAGAGAGCUGGGAAGAAACCAACUUAAUUCAAGUUGGUCAGAGAUUCCCGUGUGGAUGGACAGAAUGGCUGGGGCUCUCCUCACUUGUUUACUGGCCACAGCACUGCUUUCAGGAAGGUCUUAGUGGAGAUCCCUGGACUGAGAACUGCAGCCUGGGAGGAGAGGGGACGACUGAGGAGCAGGGGAGCAGCUGUGGAAAGCUGGGUGUUCUGCAGAUGCAUCCCACAAGCUUGGGUUGGUAUCCUCACCAGAAGUAUGACCUGAGGCCCUACUGUGUGCCAGCACCUAUGCUGGGCACUUGGACAUGAAUCCUCCCUGUGAGGAGCUCACAUUCCAUCUGGGAGAACAAAUGAGGAGAUGACAGUGUCCCACAGAUGAUUAUUUCAGAAACUGGAAUCCCAACAAGCCCUUUGA
Molecule: small RNA, 556 nt
Filed under: Pan troglodytes (chimpanzee)
Lineage: Eukaryota; Metazoa; Chordata; Mammalia; Primates; Hominidae
Description: processed transcript
Source: RNAcentral